Molecule: long non-coding RNA, 287 nt
Organism: Oncorhynchus tshawytscha (Chinook salmon)
Lineage: Eukaryota; Metazoa; Chordata; Actinopteri; Salmoniformes; Salmonidae
Source: Ensembl
UACCGCACACGCAUACCACACACACAUACCACACACGCAUACCACACACACAGGCACACACGCAUACCGCACACGCAUACCACACACACACGCAUACCACACACGCAUACCACACACGCAUACCACACGCAUACCACACGCAUACCACACACACGCAUACCACACACACGUGUGCACACUAACUUGUGGCUAUUAGUUUCCUCCUAACCUUGGUGUAUAUUACUUUUUGUUGAGAAUCACUAUUAAAGUCCCUGUCACAUUAACUGGGGGAUGAAGAGACGGGAGAG